This 357-nucleotide transfer RNA is filed under the name uncultured Microcystis sp. RNAcentral's name for it is "partial 16S-23S ribosomal RNA intergenic spacer". The stretch from base 133 to 206 matches the Rfam family "tRNA". Lineage: Bacteria; Bacillati; Cyanobacteriota; Cyanophyceae; Chroococcales; Microcystaceae. The record is from RNAcentral.
AAGGGAGACCUAAUUCGGGUAGAAGACGAAAAAAUAGUAGUCGAAACCAAGAAUCAAUCCCAAAAGGUCGGAACGAGGUAUGUGGCUUUCAAACUAGGUUCUGGGUUCACAAAAGACCUGAAUCAGGAACAAGGGCUAUUAGCUCAGGUGGUUAGAGCGCACCCCUGAUAAGGGUGAGGUCCCUGGUUCGAGUCCAGGAUGGCCCACCUGCACAGGUGGCAAAAACAAGAGAAACGAGGAAUCAGCACCUUAUCUUACUUACAUAGUAAGAGAGAAUGCUGGCUCUGAGUAAAGAGUCCAGGGGAACCUUGAAAACUGCAUAGAGCUAGGUGAAAAAGCCAAAAAAGAAGACCGCAA